UCGACGGCAGCACGGACUUCGGUCUGGUGGCGAGUGGCGAACGGGUGAGUAAUAUAUCGGAACGUACCCUGGAGUGGGGGAUAACGCAGCGAAAGUUGCACUAAUACCGCAUACGAUCUACGGAUGAAAGUGGGGGCUCGCAAGACCUCAUGCUCGUGGAGCGGCCGAUAUCUGAUUAGCUAGUUGGUAGGGUAAAAGCCUACCAAGGCUUCGAUCAGUAGCUGGUCUGAGAGGACGACCAGCCACACUGGGACUGAGACACGGCCCAGACUCCUACGGGAGGCAGCAGUGGGGAAUUUUGGACAAUGGGGGCAACCCUGAUCCAGCAAUGCCGCGUGAGUGAAGAAGGCCUUCGGGUUGUAAAGCUCUUUUGUCAGGGAAGAAACGGUGAAGGCUAAUACUCUUUGCUAAUGACGGUACCUGAAGAAUAAGCACCGGCUAACUACGUGCCAGCAGCCGCGGUAAUACGUAGGGUGCAAGCGUUAAUCGGAAUUACUGGGCGUAAAGCGUGCGCAGGCGGUUAUGUAAGUCAGAUGUGAAAUCCCCGGGCUCAACCUGGGAAUGGCA
Molecule: ribosomal RNA, 567 nt
Filed under: uncultured bacterium
Lineage: Bacteria
Description: bacterial SSU rRNA
Rfam family: Bacterial small subunit ribosomal RNA
Source: RNAcentral